This 465-nucleotide ribosomal RNA is filed under the name uncultured bacterium. RNAcentral describes it as "partial 16S ribosomal RNA". It matches the Rfam family "Bacterial small subunit ribosomal RNA", at positions 28 to 507 of the family's 1533-position model. The record is from RNAcentral.
GACGAACGCUGGCGGCGUGCUUAACACAUGCAAGUCGAACGGAAAGGCCCUGCUUGCAGGGUACUCGAGUGGCGAACGGGUGAGUAACACGUGGGUGAUCUGCCCUGCACUUCGGGAUAAGCCUGGGAAACUGGGUCUAAUACCGGAUAGGAGCCAUUUUUAGUGUGAUGGUUGGAAAGUUUUUUCGGUGUAGGAUGAGCUCGCGGCCUAUCAGCUUGUUGGUGGGGUAAUGGCCUACCAAGGCGGCGACGGGUAGCCGGCCUGAGAGGGUGGACGGCCACAUUGGGACUGAGAUACGGCCCAGACUCCUACGGGAGGCAGCAGUGGGGAAUAUUGCACAAUGGGCGCAAGCCUGAUGCAGCGACGCCGCGUGGGGGAUGACGGCCUUCGGGUUGUAAACUCCUUUCGCUAGGGACGAAGCUUUUUGUGACGGUACCUAGAGAAGAAGCACCGGGUAACUACGUG